CCCUUAGAUGUUCUGGGCCUCACGCGCGCUACACUGAUGCAUUCAACGAGUUUUUCCUGGUCCGAGAGGAAUGGGUAACCUUUUGAAAGUGCAUCGUGCUAGGGAUAGACUAUUGCAAUUAUUGGUCUUCGACGAGGAAUUCCUAGUAGACGUAGUUCAUCAGACUGCAUCGAUUACGUCCCUGCCCUUUGUACACACCGCCCGUCGCUCCUACCGAUUGGAUGAUCCGGUGAGAUAUUCGGACCUUCGCUUCGUCGAUUUUCGGCUUUGUGAGGGAAAGUCUCGCGAACCUUAUCAUCUAGAGGAAGGAGAAGUCGUAACA
Molecule: ribosomal RNA, 322 nt
Filed under: uncultured eukaryote
Lineage: Eukaryota
Description: partial 18S ribosomal RNA
Rfam family: Eukaryotic small subunit ribosomal RNA
Source: RNAcentral